Molecule: ribosomal RNA, 397 nt
Filed under: uncultured bacterium
Lineage: Bacteria
Description: partial 16S ribosomal RNA
Rfam family: Bacterial small subunit ribosomal RNA
Source: RNAcentral
AUACGUAGGGGGCGAGCGUUGUCCGGAAUGAUUGGGCGUAAAGGGCGCGUAGGCGGCCCGGUAAGUCUGGAGUGAAAGUCCUGUUUUUAAGAUGGGAAUUGCUUUGGAUACUGUCGGGCUUGAGUGCAGGAGAGGUAAGUGGAAUUCCCAGUGUAGCGGUGAAAUGCGUAGAGAUUGGGAGGAACACCAGUGGCGAAGGCGACUUACUGGACUGUAACUGACGCUGAGGCGCGAAAGUGUGGGGAGCAAACAGGAUUAGAUACCCUGGUAGUCCACACCGUAAACGAUGAAUGCUAGGUGUAGGGGGUAUCGACCCCUUCUGUGCCGCAGUCAACACAAUAAGCAUUCCGCCUGGGGAGUACGGCCACAAGGUUGAAACUCAAAGGAAUUGACGGGG